CAUUAUGAAGCUAGAAAGCGUUAACCUUUUAAGUUAAAGACUAGGAAUAAUAUUUCCUCAUAAUGA
This 66-nucleotide transfer RNA is filed under the name Capromys pilorides (Desmarest's hutia). RNAcentral describes it as "tRNA-Lys". It matches the Rfam family "tRNA". From Rfam's summary of the family: Transfer RNA (tRNA) molecules are approximately 80 nucleotides in length. Lineage: Eukaryota; Metazoa; Chordata; Mammalia; Rodentia; Capromyidae. The record is from RNAcentral.